GAUGAACGCUGGCGGCGUGCCUAACACAUGCAAGUCGAGCGAUUCUCUUCGGAGAAGAGCGGCGGACGGGUGAGUAACGCGUGGGUAACCUGCCCUGUACACACGGAUAACAUACCGAAAGGUAUGCUAAUACGAGAUAAUAUGCUUUUAUCGCAUGGUAGAAGUAUCAAAGCUCCGGCGGUACAGGAUGGACCCGCGUCUGAUUAGCUAGUUGGUAAGGUAACGGCUUACCAAGGCGACGAUCAGUAGCCGACCUGAGAGGGUGAUCGGCCACAUUGGAACUGAGAUACGGCCCAGACUCCUACGGGAGGCAGCAGUUGGGAAUCUUAGGCAAUGGACGAAAGUCUGACCUAGCGACGCCGCGUGAGGGAAGAAGGCCUUCGGGUUGUAACCUCUGUCAUGGGGAAGAAGUAAGUGACGGUACCCAACGAGGAAGCCCUGCUAACUACGUG
This 452-nucleotide ribosomal RNA is filed under the name uncultured bacterium. RNAcentral's name for it is "bacterial SSU rRNA". It matches the Rfam family "Bacterial small subunit ribosomal RNA", at positions 28 to 507 of the family's 1533-position model. The record is from RNAcentral.